UAAUAGGUUUCCCGUUUCUAAUAAAAGUUGUUCUACGUUAUUUUUGACAUUUUGUUUUGUUUCCAUAACUUUAUCCCAUCUUUAUGUAUAUAAACUUUCAUUUUCUUUAUUUUAUUUUUCAUUGUCAUUUUUUAUAACAACAUAAUCUAAUAUCAAUAAAUUAUCUUUUUUAAAAUUUUAAAUUUAAAAAAUUUCAAAUAUCAAUACAUUAAAAUUUAAGUCAAUAAAAUUAAUUAUAAAAAAUAUGCAUUUUCUCUUAUU
This 261-nucleotide long non-coding RNA is filed under the name Lathyrus oleraceus (garden pea). Its description in RNAcentral is "Pisum sativum (pea) long non-coding RNA (PSAT_LNC025343)". The record is from RNAcentral. Lineage: Eukaryota; Viridiplantae; Streptophyta; Magnoliopsida; Fabales; Fabaceae.